Molecule: small nucleolar RNA, 79 nt
Organism: Mesocricetus auratus (golden hamster)
Lineage: Eukaryota; Metazoa; Chordata; Mammalia; Rodentia; Cricetidae
Gene: SNORD115
Rfam family: Small nucleolar RNA SNORD115
About the family: HBII-52 is a member of the C/D class of snoRNAs, which contain the C (UGAUGA) and D (CUGA) box motifs. HBII-52 is encoded in a tandemly repeated array with another C/D snoRNA, HBII-85, in the Prader-Willi syndrome (PWS) region of chromosome 15.
Source: Ensembl
GGGUAUAUUAUGACAAACCAAUGUAAUGAAGAGAGGGGAUGACAUAAAAAUCAUGUUCACUAGGGUUCUGCUGAGACCC